AGCUCCAAUAGCGUAUAUUAAAGUUGUUGCAGUUAAAAAGCUCGUAGUUGGAUUUGGGACUGGAGUCGUUCGGUCGGCCGCAAGGUCUGUUACUGAACGGCUCUGUCAUCACAUUCCCAGAGACCUGCCGUGUACUUAACUGUGUGCGGUACGGGAUUUGGGACGUUUACUUUGAAAAAAUCAGAGUGUUUCAAGCAGGCAGCUCGCUUUUGCAUGGAUUAGCAUGGGAUAAUGAAAUAGGACUUUGGUGCUAUUUUGUUGGUUUCGAACACCGAAGUAAUGAUUAACAGGGACAGUCAGGGGCACUCGUAUUCCGCCGAGAGAGGUGAAAUUCUCAGACCAGCGGAAGACGCACCACUGCGAAAGCAUUUGCCAGGGAUGUUUUCACUGAUCAAGAACG
RNAcentral lists this ribosomal RNA (400 nucleotides) under phytoplankton environmental sample. RNAcentral's name for it is "partial small subunit ribosomal RNA". It matches the Rfam family "Eukaryotic small subunit ribosomal RNA", at positions 587 to 985 of the family's 1831-position model. The record is from RNAcentral.